Non-coding RNA from Pelobates cultripes (western spadefoot toad), 428 nucleotides. The record is from the annotation of a GenBank genome assembly. Lineage: Eukaryota; Metazoa; Chordata; Amphibia; Anura; Pelobatidae.
UGUCGGUCGAGUCGCUCUCUGAGGGUGGAUCCCGAAGGGCUGUGGCGAUGCGUAGGACUUAAAAAGGUCCGCAUGUCCUCCAUCAACAACACGUCUCUAAAGCGUCCUGUCCUUGCCGGCGUGGUCAUGGGAGGAGGAGGAUGACUUCCACCUCUCCCCCUGUUAGAUUCCCGUUGUGCUGUGACAUCACCCUUAUACGCUGUGUAAAGCAUACUUUUAAAUUUAUUUUGCAAAUGCUGCAUCCUUUCAUACUUGUUGUAAUUCGGUAACAUUUCCGCCACUUUCUGCUUAUACCGGGGGUCUAGUAGCGUGGACACCCAGUACAGGUCGUUCUCCUUCAGCCUUUUUAUACGAGGGUCCCUCAACAGGCACGACAGCAUGAAAGACCCCAUUUGCACAAGGUUGGAUGCCGAGCUACUCAUUUCCCG